CUUGGUCAUUUAGAGGAAGUAAAAGUCGUAACAAGGUUUCCGUAGGUGAACCUGCGGAAGGAUCAUUACCGAGUACCGGGGCUUAGGUCCCUACUCCCACCCUUUGUUAACUGAAACUGUUGCUUUGGCGGACCGGCAAUAUUGCCACCGGCCUAGGCUGGACAGCGUCCGCCAGAGGCCCUGAAACUCAAUUAAAGUAUUUUCUGAGUCUUGAAGAUGAAGCAAAACUUUCAACAACGGAUCUCUUGGUUCUGGCAUCGAUGAAGAACGCAGCGAAAUGCGAUAAGUAAUGUGAAUUGCAGAAUUCAGUGAAUCAUCGAAUCUUUGAACGCACAUUGCGCCCUUUGGUAUUCCGAGGGGCACGCCUGUUCGAGCGUCAUUUAAACCAUCAAGCCUAGCUUGGUCUUGGGCGCGGUCGAGUGACCCGUCCGCAACCCGUUGGCGGCGCAGUCCGGCUUCAAGCGUAGCAAGAAUCUCGCUUCUGGGUUGACGCGGCGUCUGCCGGUUAAGACAUUCUCUGAAGUUUGACCUCGGAUCAGGUGAGGAUACCCGCUGAACUUAAGCAUAUCAAUAAGCGGAGGA
This 582-nucleotide ribosomal RNA is filed under the name uncultured fungus. Its description in RNAcentral is "eukaryotic LSU rRNA". The stretch from base 226 to 379 matches the Rfam family "5.8S ribosomal RNA". Lineage: Eukaryota; Fungi. The record is from RNAcentral.